AUUACAACUACAUCCAGUACAGAUGGUGCCCCUGGUGAUGGGACUGGACAGGCAGCAGCCACCCCUGGUGAUGGGACUGGACAGGCAGCAGCCACCUUACCAUCUGCCCCUGUUGAUGAAGAUGAAGAUGAAGAUGAUGAACUUUACAAAAUCUUGGAAGAACGUCAUCAAAGAGAACUCAGGGAACAAAGUAAUGAUCAUAACUGGAUUUUAAAUUUAAUCCAUUUUCAAAUACAUUCAGACAUUGUCACAUGAAUCUAAUGAAUCUGAAGUAGGUCUUAAACAGAAUUGACCUAAUUCACAAU
Long non-coding RNA from Actinia tenebrosa (Australian red waratah sea anemone), 305 nucleotides. Lineage: Eukaryota; Metazoa; Cnidaria; Anthozoa; Actiniaria; Actiniidae. The record is from RefSeq and is a predicted model, not a curated record.